UCCCUCUUAGCUCAGUGGUAGAGCGCGUCACUAGUAUGGUCUCCACAUGACGAGGUCAGUCGUUCAAGUCGGCUAGAGGGAA
This 82-nucleotide transfer RNA is filed under the name Sphagnurus paluster. RNAcentral's name for it is "Tephrocybe palustris tRNA". It matches the Rfam family "tRNA". From Rfam's summary of the family: Transfer RNA (tRNA) molecules are approximately 80 nucleotides in length. Lineage: Eukaryota; Fungi; Basidiomycota; Agaricomycetes; Agaricales; Lyophyllaceae. The record is from Rfam by way of RNAcentral.